This 429-nucleotide ribosomal RNA is filed under the name uncultured Actinomycetes bacterium. RNAcentral's name for it is "bacterial SSU rRNA". It matches the Rfam family "Bacterial small subunit ribosomal RNA", at positions 945 to 1375 of the family's 1533-position model. The record is from RNAcentral. Lineage: Bacteria; Bacillati; Actinomycetota; Actinomycetes.
AUUAAUUCGAUGCAACGCGAAGAACCUUACCAAGGCUUGACAUACACCGGAAACUUCCAGAGAUGGUUGCCCCGCAAGGUCGGUGUACAGGUGGUGCAUGGUUGUCGUCAGCUCGUGUCGUGAGAUGUUGGGUUAAGUCCCGCAACGAGCGCAACCCUCGUCUUAUGUUGCCAGCACGUCAUGGUGGGGACUCAUAAGAGACUGCCGGGGUCAACUCGGAGGAAGGUGGGGAUGACGUCAAAUCAUCAUGCCCCUUAUGUCUUGGGCUUCACGCAUGCUACAAUGGCCGGUACAAAGGGCUGCGAUACCGCGAGGUGGAGCGAAUCCCAAAAAGCCGGUCUCAGUUCGGAUUGAGGUCUGCAACUCGACCUCAUGAAGUCGGAGUCGCUAGUAAUCGCAGAUCAGCAACGCUGCGGUGAAUACGUUCCC